RNAcentral lists this ribosomal RNA (485 nucleotides) under uncultured bacterium. RNAcentral's name for it is "bacterial SSU rRNA". It matches the Rfam family "Bacterial small subunit ribosomal RNA", at positions 501 to 986 of the family's 1533-position model. The record is from RNAcentral.
CUACGUGCCAGCAGCCGCGGUAAUACGUAGGGUGCAAGCGUUAAUCGGAAUUACUGGGCGUAAAGCGUGCGCAGGCGGUUCGGAAAGAAAGAUGUGAAAUCCCAGAGCUUAACUUUGGAACUGCAUUUUUAACUACCGAGCUAGAGUGUGUCAGAGGGAGGUGGAAUUCCGCGUGUAGCAGUGAAAUGCGUAGAUAUGCGGAGGAACACCGAUGGCGAAGGCAGCCUCCUGGGAUAACACUGACGCUCAUGCACGAAAGCGUGGGGAGCAAACAGGAUUAGAUACCCUGGUAGUCCACGCCCUAAACGAUGUCAACUAGCUGUUGGGGCCUUCGGGCCUUGGUAGCGCAGCUAACGCGUGAAGUUGACCGCCUGGGGAGUACGGUCGCAAGAUUAAAACUCAAAGGAAUUGACGGGGACCCGCACAAGCGGUGGAUGAUGUGGAUUAAUUCGAUGCAACGCGAAAAACCUUACCUACCCUUGACA